RNAcentral lists this ribosomal RNA (459 nucleotides) under uncultured bacterium. RNAcentral describes it as "partial 16S ribosomal RNA". It matches the Rfam family "Bacterial small subunit ribosomal RNA", at positions 339 to 795 of the family's 1533-position model. The record is from RNAcentral.
CUACGGGGGGCACCAGUAAGGAAUAUUGCGCAAUGGAGGCAACUCUGACGCAGCCAUUCCGCGUGCAGGAAGAAGGCCUUAUGGGUCGUAAACUGCUUUUAUUUAGGAAUAAACCCCCGAACGUGUUCGGGGCUGAAGGUACUAAACGAAUAAGCACCGGCUAACUCCGUGCCAGCAGCCGCGGUAAUACGGAGGGUGCAAGCGUUAUCCGGUUUUAUUGGGUUUAAAGGGUGCGCAGGCGGGCUAUUAAGUCAGUGGUGAAAUCCCGGGGCUCAACUCCGGAACUGCCAUUGAUACUGAUAGUCUUGAGUUUGGUUGAAGUGGGCGGAAUGUAGCAUGUAGCGGUGCAAUGCAUAGAUAUGCUACAGAACACCAAUCGCGAAGGCAGCUCACUAAGCCAAAACUGACGCUCAUGCACGAAAGCGUGGGGAUCAAACAGGAUUAGAUACCCCUGUAGUC